This 2541-nucleotide ribosomal RNA is filed under the name Salmonella enterica subsp. enterica serovar Infantis. RNAcentral describes it as "partial 23S ribosomal RNA". It matches the Rfam family "Bacterial large subunit ribosomal RNA", at positions 482 to 2823 of the family's 2925-position model. The record is from RNAcentral. Lineage: Bacteria; Pseudomonadati; Pseudomonadota; Gammaproteobacteria; Enterobacterales; Enterobacteriaceae.
GACCGAUAGUGAACCAGUACCGUGAGGGAAAGGCGAAAAGAACCCCGGCGAGGGGAGUGAAAAAGAACCUGAAACCGUGUACGUACAAGCAGUGGGAGCCCCACCACCAAAGCAUUCUCUGGUGUUGAAGGCCCUGCAAAGCAGCAUCGCGGUGGCGGAGCGUCGUUUGCGACGCCCAACACACAAAACAAGCGGUGAGUGCUUUGGGGUGGGGUGACUGCGUACCUUUUGUAUAAUGGGUCAGCGACUUAUAUUCUGUAGCAAGGUUAACCGAAUAGGGGAGCCGGAGGGAAACCGAGUCUUAAUUGGGCGUUAAGUUGCAGGGUAUAGACCCGAAACCCGGUGAUCUAGCCAUGGGCAGGUUGAAGGUUGGGUAACACUAACUGGAGGACCGAACCGACUAAUGUUGAAAAAUUAGCGGAUGACCUGUGGCUGGGGGUGAAAGGCCAAUCAAACCGGGAGAUAGCUGGUUCUCCCCGAAAGCUAUUUAGGUAGCGCCUCGUGAAUUCAUCUCCGGGGGUAGAGCACUGUUUCGGCUAGGGGGCCAUCCCGGCUUACCAACCCGAUGCAAACUGCGAAUACCGGAGAAUGUUAUCACGGGAGACACACGGCGGGUGCUAACGUCCGUCGUGAAGAGGGAAACAACCCAGACCGCCAGCUAAGGUCCCAAAGUCAUGGUUAAGUGGGAAACGAUGUGGGAAGGCCCAGACAGCCAGGAUGUUGGCUUAGAAGCAGCCAUCAUUUAAAGAAAGCGUAAUAGCUCACUGGUCGAGUCGGCCUGCGCGGAAGAUGUAACGGGGCUAAACCAUGCACCGAAGCUGCGGCAGCGAACGUAUCACUUAAAGCGAUUCAGCGGGUUACGAUUGACGGAGCGAAGCGACGUCAAAGCGUAUACAAAGUCGAGUCGGUUUAAGGAUACGUUCGUUGGGUAGGGGAGCGUUCUGUAAGCCUGUGAAGGUGUGUCGUGAGGCAUGCUGGAGGUAUCAGAAGUGCGAAUGCUGACAUAAGUAACGAUAAAGCGGGUGAAAAGCCCGCUCGCCGGAAGACCAAGGGUUCCUGUCCAACGUUAAUCGGGGCAGGGUGAGUCGACCCCUAAGGCGAGGCCGAAAGGCGUAGUCGAUGGGAAACGGGUUAAUAUUCCCGUACUUGGUGUUACUGCGAAGGGGGGACGGAGAAGGCUAUGUUGGCCGGGCGACGGUUGUCCCGGUUUAAGCGUGUAGGUGUGUGUUCCAGGUAAAUCCGGUUCACUUUAACACUGAGGCGUGAUGACGAGGCACUACGGUGCUGAAGCAACAAAUGCCCUGCUUCCAGGAAAAGCCUCUAAGCAUCAGGUAACAUCAAAUCGUACCCCAAACCGACACAGGUGGUCAGGUAGAGAAUACCAAGGCGCUUGAGAGAACUCGGGUGAAGGAACUAGGCAAAAUGGUGCCGUAACUUCGGGAGAAGGCACGCUGACAUGUAGGUGAAGUGAUUUACUCAUGGAGCUGAAGUCAGUCGAAGAUACCAGCUGGCUGCAACUGUUUAUUAAAAACACAGCACUGUGCAAACACGAAAGUGGACGUAUACGGUGUGACGCCUGCCCGGUGCCGGAAGGUUAAUUGAUGGGGUCAGCGCAAGCGAAGCUCCUGAUCGAAGCCCCGGUAAACGGCGGCCGUAACUAUAACGGUCCUAAGGUAGCGAAAUUCCUUGUCGGGUAAGUUCCGACCUGCACGAAUGGCGUAAUGAUGGCCAGGCUGUCUCCACCCGAGACUCAGUGAAAUUGAACUCGCUGUGAAGAUGCAGUGUACCCGCGGCAAGACGGAAAGACCCCGUGAACCUUUACUAUAGCUUGACACUGAACAUUGAGCCUUGAUGUGUAGGAUAGGUGGGAGGCUUUGAAGCGUGGACGCCAGUCUGCGUGGAGCCGACCUUGAAAUACCACCCUUUAAUGUUUGAUGUUCUAACGUGGACCCGUAAUCCGGGUUGCGGACAGUGUCUGGUGGGUAGUUUGACUGGGGCGGUCUCCUCCUAAAGAGUAACGGAGGAGCACGAAGGUUGGCUAAUCCUGGUCGGACAUCAGGAGGUUAGUGCAAUGGCAUAAGCCAGCUUGACUGCGAGCGUGACGGCGCGAGCAGGUGCGAAAGCAGGUCAUAGUGAUCCGGUGGUUCUGAAUGGAAGGGCCAUCGCUCAACGGAUAAAAGGUACUCCGGGGAUAACAGGCUGAUACCGCCCAAGAGUUCAUAUCGACGGCGGUGUUUGGCACCUCGAUGUCGGCUCAUCACAUCCUGGGGCUGAAGUAGGUCCCAAGGGUAUGGCUGUUCGCCAUUUAAAGUGGUACGCGAGCUGGGUUUAGAACGUCGUGAGACAGUUCGGUCCCUAUCUGCCGUGGGCGCUGGAGAACUGAGGGGGGCUGCUCCUAGUACGAGAGGACCGGAGUGGACGCAUCACUGGUGUUCGGGUUGUCAUGCCAAUGGCACUGCCCGGUAGCUAAAUGCGGAAGAGAUAAGUGCUGAAAGCAUCUAAGCACGAAACUUGCCCCGAGAUGAGUUCUCCCUGAGACUU